Molecule: long non-coding RNA, 760 nt
Filed under: Sus scrofa (pig)
Lineage: Eukaryota; Metazoa; Chordata; Mammalia; Artiodactyla; Suidae
Description: lncRNA (ENSSSCG00025036531.1)
Source: RNAcentral
GCCAUGGUGGAUGGUCAGCCAAGCCUGCAGUAAGUGCUGGAGAGGGUCGAUGAGUGGAUGGCGAAGGAAGGCCUCUUAGAUCCAAACGUCAAGUCGAUUUUUGUCACCUGCGGAGACUCGACUUAAAAGUCAUGAUGGACUCCUCUUGCCCUGUGGAGUCAGUUUCCAAGAUACCAUCUUCCCAGACACUCAAGAGAACAGAAGAAAGAUUUCCUGCUCUAUCCCAUUUUUAAACUGUUCCCAACGGCAGUAACUGGUGACUUUCUCCAGGGACUGGGAGAUCCAAGAAGAUAAUAAGGUAAGAAUCGGCUGUACCCUGAGCCAUAGCAAAAGGAGAGAAUAGGUACAUGGUGUAUGAAUGUUGUGACCAAGUCAAGUGUACUCUUCCAGAAGCCCAGACCUAAGAGUAUUCCCUUCCUUCAUCCCCUCCCUUCCAGCAGGUAACAAACAGUCCUCAUAAACUUGAGAUUCCUGAGGCUUUAUGAUUUGGCACAGGGGUCCGCACAAAGUGAGGGUACAAGAUGGAAUGAAGGUUGGCACACUGUGCCUGAGUGCCCCCUUCUGUAAAGUGGAAAGAGUUGUGUGUGUGCCCUAUGACCGAUGCACUAGGAUUUAACUCUUUAGGAAAUGUAAACAUGCAAAGCCCUCAGUGUAGCACUUGACAGAGCAAGCAAUCAAUGUGUGAGCUACUGCCAUUACUAUCAGUAGUCCUAUUACUUCUAGAGGUAUUUGUAUGAUUGUUGUGAUUGAGAGCAUAGGG